RNAcentral lists this ribosomal RNA (1100 nucleotides) under fungal endophyte. RNAcentral's name for it is "eukaryotic LSU rRNA". The stretch from base 514 to 1100 matches the Rfam family "Eukaryotic large subunit ribosomal RNA", at positions 1 to 598 of the family's 3401-position model. The record is from RNAcentral. Lineage: Eukaryota; Fungi.
AGAGUUUUUCAUAACUCCCUAAACCCAUGUGAACCUUAUACUCUGCGUUGCCUCGGCAGGUCGCGCUUACCCGGUAGUGCUCUACCCUGUAGAGACCUACCCGGUAGCCGCGGUGAAAGCCUGCCGGCGGCCCAACCUGAACUCUUUAUUAUUUUGAAUCUUCUGAACUUGAUAACUAAAUAAAGUUAAAACUUUCAACAACGGAUCUCUUGGUUCUGGCAUCGAUGAAGAACGCAGCGAAAUGCGAUAAGUAAUGUGAAUUGCAGAAUUCAGUGAAUCAUCGAAUCUUUGAACGCACAUUGCGCCCAUUAGUAUUCUAGUGGGCAUGCCUGUUCGAGCGUCAUUUCAACCCUUAAGCCCCAGUUGCUUAGUGUUGGGAGCCUACAGUGAUGUAGCUCCUGAAAGUUAGUGGCGGAGUCGGUUACACACUCUAGACGUAGUAAAUAUCUUAUAUUGUCUCGCCUACGGUUGUGCCGGUCCCCUGCCGUAAAAACACCCUAAUUUUCUCAAGGUUGACCUCGGAUCAGGUAGGAAUACCCGCUGAACUUAAGCAUAUCAAUAAGCGGAGGAAAAGAAACCAACAGGGAUUGCCCUAGUAACGGCGAGUGAAGCGGCAACAGCUCAAAUUUGAAAUCUGGCCCUCGGGUCCGAGUUGUAAUUUGUAGAGGAUGCUUUUGGCGCGGUGCCUUCCGAGUUCCCUGGAACGGGACGCCUUAGAGGGUGAGAGCCCCGUACGGUUGGACACUAAGCCUCUGUAAAGCUCCUUCGACGAGUCGAGUAGUUUGGGAAUGCUGCUCUAAAUGGGAGGUAAAUUUCUUCUAAAGCUAAAUAUUGGCCAGAGACCGAUAGCGCACAAGUAGAGUGAUCGAAAGAUGAAAAGCACUUUGAAAAGAGGGUUAAAUAGCACGUGAAAUUGUUGAAAGGGAAGCGUUUGCGACCAGACCUUUUCCUGGCGGAUCAUCCGGUGUUCUCACCGGUGCACUUCGCCAGGUUGAGGCCAGCAUCGGUUUCGGCAGGGGGAUAAAAGCGUCGGGAACGUAGCUCCUCCGGGAGUGUUAUAGCCCUUCGUAUAAUACCCUUGCGGGGACCGAGGACCGCGC